This 30-nucleotide non-coding RNA is filed under the name Rattus norvegicus (Norway rat). Lineage: Eukaryota; Metazoa; Chordata; Mammalia; Rodentia; Muridae. The record is from RNAcentral.
UGGGUGCAUUGCCAAUGGAUUGAACUCAUC